AGCUCCAAUAGCGUAUAUUAAAGUUGUUGCAGUUAAAAAGCUCGUAGUUGGAUUUCGGAACCGGCCGAUUGGUCCGUCCUCUGGAUCGUGUACUGAUCGGUCUGUUCUUCUUCGCGAAGACCAUGUGUGCCCUUAACUGGGUGGGCUUGGGAUUCGCGACGUUUACUUUGAAAAAAUUAGAGUGUUCAAAGCAGGCAUUCGCUUGAAUAUCUCAGCAUGGAAUAAUAGAAUAGGACUUUGGUCUUAUUUUGUUGGUUUCCGAGACCGAAGUAAUGAUUAAUAGGGACAGUUGGGGGCAUUCGUAUUUCAUUGUCAGAGGUGAAAUUCUUGGAUUUAUGAAAGACGAACUUCUGCGAAAGCAUUUGCCAAGGAUGUUUUCAUUA
RNAcentral lists this ribosomal RNA (383 nucleotides) under Beroe sp. RNAcentral describes it as "partial small subunit ribosomal RNA". It matches the Rfam family "Eukaryotic small subunit ribosomal RNA", at positions 587 to 975 of the family's 1831-position model. The record is from RNAcentral. Lineage: Eukaryota; Metazoa; Ctenophora; Nuda; Beroida; Beroidae.